This 74-nucleotide transfer RNA is filed under the name Stegodyphus mimosarum. It matches the Rfam family "tRNA". Rfam says of the family: Transfer RNA (tRNA) molecules are approximately 80 nucleotides in length. Lineage: Eukaryota; Metazoa; Arthropoda; Arachnida; Araneae; Eresidae. The record is from Rfam by way of RNAcentral.
GCCUUUGUGGUGUAAAUGAAAAACACGUCCAGCUGGAAAUUCGAAAGUCCAGAGUUCUAAUUCCGGCAACGGCG